UACAGAGGGUGCAAGCGUUGUUCGGAAUUAUUGGGCGUAAAGGGCGCGUAGGCGGCCUUCUAAGUCAGACGUGAAAUCCCCCGGCUUAACCUGGGAACUGCGUCUGAUACUGGGAGGCUUGAGUAUGGGAGAGGGAUGUAGAAUUCCUGGUGUAGCGGUGAAAUGCGCAGAUAUCAGGAGGAACACCGGUGGCGAAGGCGGUUCUCUGGGCAUGAUCUGACGCUGAGGAGCGAAAGUGUGGGGAGCGAACAGG
Molecule: ribosomal RNA, 253 nt
Filed under: uncultured bacterium
Lineage: Bacteria
Description: partial 16S ribosomal RNA
Rfam family: Bacterial small subunit ribosomal RNA
Source: RNAcentral